GAGUGAGAGCUGUCCUGGCUACGAUGAACGCUGGCGGCGUGCCUAACACAUGCAAGUCGAACGGAGUUAUUAUUAUGAAGUUUUCGGAUGGAUUAAUAAUAACUUAGUGGCGGACGGGUGAGUAACGCGUGGGUAACCUGCCUCACACAGGGGGAUAACAGUUGGAAACGGCUGCUAAAACCGCAUAAGCAUACAUUGUCGCAUGACAGAGUGUGAAAAUAUUUAUAGGUGAGAGAUGGGCCCGCGUCUGAUUAGCUAGUUGGUAGGGUAACGGCCUACCAAGGCGACGAUCAGUAGCCGGCUUGAGAGAGUGACCGGCCACAUUGGGACUGAGACACGGCCCAGACUCCUACGGGAGGCAGCAGUGAGGAAUUUUCCGCAAUGGGCGCAAGCCUGACGGAGCGACGCCGCGUGAGGGAUGAAGGCUUUCGGGUUGUAAACCUCUUUUGCUUGGGAAAAAGGUCCGCGUGCUCAUACCACGUGGAUUUGAUGGUACUAAGCGAAUAAGCCCCGGCUAACUACGUGCCAGCAGCCGCGGUAAUUC
Molecule: ribosomal RNA, 544 nt
Filed under: uncultured bacterium
Lineage: Bacteria
Description: bacterial SSU rRNA
Rfam family: Bacterial small subunit ribosomal RNA
Source: RNAcentral